CCCUCUGCCGGAGACAGAACAAACAGAAGUGGGCCUCCCCUCUCGUGGAUCUCAGGAAGCACCCCGGGACCAGCUGCCGUAUGCCUGGUGCCUUCCUGAGGCCCAGGUAAUGGGAACAGAGACAUGGCCGUCCUAUCAAGGAGUCCACAGCCCAUUGAGGACACAGCCCCUGGAGAACCCUACAGCCCCAGCAGGAAGAAAGAGCCAGAAACCAUAGCCCCAGUGGGCAAAGGAAAGGAAGGUCAGCACCAGUGCACAGACGGGGACCACAGCGCACCGUGCUCAGCCUUGGGAGGCCACAGGGACGACGCGGGCACACAUCACCCCCCCUCCACAUUUACUCCUGACUCUUCAAUGAAACCUUCUGCACCAGCCUCUCAAGCCUACCUGGGCAGAGGGUGCUAAAAAAGGCCCCCAAGGAGUCCACCUUCCCCGUCACCAGCUCGUAGUGGACUUCCCUCUGGUACUCCGCUGGGCUGAGGAGGCUCUCAGAAAGAAUCCGGGCUUGGUAUUUUCCUGGAAAACAAA
This is a non-coding RNA of Ictidomys tridecemlineatus (thirteen-lined ground squirrel), 528 nucleotides long. The record is from RefSeq and is a predicted model, not a curated record. Lineage: Eukaryota; Metazoa; Chordata; Mammalia; Rodentia; Sciuridae.